The sequence is a ribosomal RNA, 251 nucleotides long. It matches the Rfam family "Bacterial small subunit ribosomal RNA", at positions 104 to 339 of the family's 1533-position model.
GGGUGAGUAACGCGUAAACAACCUGCCCCGCAGAUGGGGACAACAGCUGGAAACGGCUGCUAAUACCGAAUACGCUCCUCUUAGCGCAUGGUAAGAGGAAGAAAGGGUGGCCUCUGGAACAAGCUACCGCUGUGGGAGGGGUUUGCGUCUGAUUAGCUGGUUGGAGGGGUAACGGCCCACCAAGGCGACGAUCAGUAGCCGGUCUGAGAGGAUGAACGGCCACAUUGGAACUGAGACACGGUCCAGACUCC